GCCCGCUGCCGCAGCUUCCAGAACCUGCAGAUACGACGCCAUUUGCUAUCAUGUGUGUGUGCAAAAUUCAAGUUUUGAUUCUUGCCUGAUAUAAAACCACUGCUGCGACGGCGACCGGCUCAGUUUCGUCGUGCGCUUCGAAAGCAAUUUAUCGCUCUUUCUUAAUGUGUGCCAACAACGUAUGUGUCAAUGAAUAGUAGGCUUGACGUGUAUAAACCCAGUUCGAAGUUUCUGCCAGUCAUUCGAUUGGAUAAACACCUGAGAACUCGAAAAGGCAGUCGACUUGGCAACUCCGGCAAUCGGUUAGAACUGCAGGUGCUCACCCAGCUCCAUCACGUGCCCUAGCUUGACCACGCCCACAUUAGACACCAGUGACAUCUAUUAGCAUCAAUCGCACGCACGUCUAGGAAAUUAACCUCAUCGCACACCGCACACAGCAUUUCAAAAUGGUCCAGGGAACUUCGUACGACUACGGCACCAAGGUGACGCCCGCGUCAGCGUCCUCGUGGGAGAAGGCCUCGGCGAAGCGCUCCGGCUACGAAGCCGUGCAACGCGCCGAUAAAGAGCGCCAGGAGCAGAAGGCCAAAGAGGCGAACAAGUAUGGCGCGUGGGGGUCCACCUUCAAGGGGCGUGAUCACUUUGCCAGCAUGCAUCACUGUUAAAUUAUUUCAGUAAUGCAGGCGAUAAAGUGAAAAUAAUCUAAAUUUUGUUUGAAUAACACAUUACUAAACUUUAAAAAUUGCAAUUUUGUUUUUGUUUUGUCCGGGGCUGUGUAGCUGUAGUCGGUAGUCAUUUUAAUCACCAUUUCGUUUGUUUUUUUUUUAAGUUUUGUUUUGCACCUAACACAUGGAAAUAAUGCUUUGUACACGUAAUAAAUGAUUAAUGAUCA
Long non-coding RNA from Dalotia coriaria, 889 nucleotides. RefSeq lists it as uncharacterized. Lineage: Eukaryota; Metazoa; Arthropoda; Insecta; Coleoptera; Staphylinidae. The transcript has 2 exons. The record is from RefSeq and is a predicted model, not a curated record.